RNAcentral lists this ribosomal RNA (482 nucleotides) under uncultured bacterium. Its description in RNAcentral is "partial 16S ribosomal RNA". It matches the Rfam family "Bacterial small subunit ribosomal RNA", at positions 30 to 507 of the family's 1533-position model. The record is from RNAcentral.
AUUGAACGCUGGCGGCAUGCUUUACACAUGCAAGUCGAACGGUGACAGGCCGCAAGGUGCUGACGAGUGGCGAACGGGUGAGUAAUGCAUCGGAACGUGCCCAGUCGUGGGGGAUGACUACUCGAAAGAGUAGCUAAUACCGCAUACGAUCUAUGGAUGAAAGCGGGGGACCGUAAGGCCUCGCGCGAUUGGAGCGGCCGAUGUCAGAUUAGGUAGUUGGUGGGGUAAAGGCUCACCAAGCCAACGAUCUGUAGCUGGUCUGAGAGGACGACCAGCCACACUGGGACUGAGACGCGGCCCAGACUCCUACGGGAGGCAGCAGUGGGGAAUUUUGGACAAUGGGCGCAAGCCUGAUCCAGCAAUGCCGCGUGCAGGAAGAAGGCCUUCGGGUUGUAAACUGCUUUUGUACGGAACGAAACGGCUCUGGUUAAUACCCGGGGCUAAUGACGGUACCGUAAGAAUAAGCACCGGCUAACUACGUG